RNAcentral lists this non-coding RNA (27 nucleotides) under Mus musculus (house mouse). The record is from RNAcentral. Lineage: Eukaryota; Metazoa; Chordata; Mammalia; Rodentia; Muridae.
UGGUGACGGCGCCAUCUUUUAGGCUUC